UGAUUUAGGAUUUAGGAUUUGGUUUAGGGUUUGAUUAGGAUUGAUUUAGGAUUUAGGAUUUGGUUUAGGAUUUGGUUAGGAUUUGGUUAGGAUUUGGUUUAGGAUUUGAUUAGGAUUUGGUUAGGGUUUGAUUUAGGGUUUAGGAUUUGAUUAGGAUUUGGUUUAGGAUUUAGGAUUUGUAUUAAGGUUUGGUUUAGGAUUUGGUUAGGAUUUGGUUAGGGUUUGAUUAGGAUUUGGUUUUGGAUUUGGUUAGGGUUUGAUUAGGAUUUGGUUUUGGAUUUGGUUAAGGUUUUAUUUAAGGUUUGUUUAGGGUAUGAUUUAGGAUUUAGGAUUUUAUUAGGUUUUAAGAUUCAAUUAGUUUUGGUCUAAAGUUUGAAUGAAGUUCAAUAGGAUUUUAACUAAAAUUUAAUUAAGAUUGAAUUGAGAUGUAUUUGACUGAUAUUUGUGAUCCUUCUAAUAUUUCUUUAAGAAUUCUAAUUUUUUGUUUGAAAUUUCUCUUAGAUUUCUUUGAAUUUGAUUAAGCUUGCUUACCAUUAUUAUGGUCUAA
RNAcentral lists this long non-coding RNA (547 nucleotides) under Physcomitrium patens. RNAcentral's name for it is "long non-coding RNA (PPAT_LNC007983)". The record is from RNAcentral. Lineage: Eukaryota; Viridiplantae; Streptophyta; Bryopsida; Funariales; Funariaceae.